GACGAACGCUGGCGGCGUGCUUAACACAUGCAAGUCGAACGGUGAAGCCCCUUCCUUUUGGUGGGUGUGGAUGAGUGGCGAGCGGGUGAGUAACACGUGAGUAACCUGCGCCCUUCUUCUGACUAACCGCAUGAAAGUGUGGCUAAUACUGGAUAUUCUGUCCCUGCUGCAUGGUGGGUGUGGGAACGGUGGGCUUUUGGGUGUUUUUGGUGGGGCAUGGGCUCGCGGGGGAUCAGCUUGUUGGUGGGUUGAUGGCGUAGCCAGGCGGUGAGGGUUAGCCGGGCUGAGGGGGGGGACGGUAACAGUGGGACUGAGACACGGGCCAGACUGCUACGGGAGGCAGCAGUGGGGAAGAUUGCACAAGGGGCGCAAGCCUGAUGCAGCGACGCCGCGUGAGGGAUGGAGGCCUGCGGGUUGUAAGCCUCUGUCGCCAGUGAAGCAGGCCUGUCCCUUGUGGGUGGGUUGACGGUAGCUGGAUAAGAAGCGCCGGCUAACUACGUG
RNAcentral lists this ribosomal RNA (501 nucleotides) under uncultured bacterium. Its description in RNAcentral is "partial 16S ribosomal RNA". It matches the Rfam family "Bacterial small subunit ribosomal RNA", at positions 28 to 507 of the family's 1533-position model. The record is from RNAcentral.